GAGACUUUAGCUCAAUUGGUAGAGUACUUGGGAAAUAGAGCAUAGCUCUCUAUUCUCAAGAGGAUGGUAGUUCAAAUCUACCAAGUCUCU
Molecule: transfer RNA, 90 nt
Filed under: Nelumbo nucifera (sacred lotus)
Lineage: Eukaryota; Viridiplantae; Streptophyta; Magnoliopsida; Proteales; Nelumbonaceae
Rfam family: tRNA
About the family: Transfer RNA (tRNA) molecules are approximately 80 nucleotides in length. Their secondary structure includes four short double-helical elements and three loops (D, anti-codon, and T loops). Further hydrogen bonds mediate the characteristic L-shaped molecular structure. tRNAs have two regions of fundamental functional importance: the anti-codon, which is responsible for specific mRNA codon recognition, and the 3' end, to which the tRNAs corresponding amino acid is attached (by aminoacyl-tRNA synthetases). tRNAs cope with the degeneracy of the genetic code in two manners: having more than one tRNA (with a specific anti-codon) for a particular amino acid; and 'wobble' base-pairing, i.e. permitting non-standard base-pairing at the 3rd anti-codon position.
Source: Rfam by way of RNAcentral